This 466-nucleotide ribosomal RNA is filed under the name uncultured bacterium. RNAcentral describes it as "partial 16S ribosomal RNA". It matches the Rfam family "Bacterial small subunit ribosomal RNA", at positions 28 to 507 of the family's 1533-position model. The record is from RNAcentral.
GAUGAACGCUGGCGGCGUGCUUAACACAUGCAAGUCGAACGGAAAGGCCCAAGCUUGCUUGGGUACUCGAGUGGCGAACGGGUGAGUAACACGUGGGUGAUCUGCCCUGCACUUCGGGAUAAGCCUGGGAAACUGGGUCUAAUACCGGAUAGGACCACAUUUUGGAUGGUGUGGUGGAAAGUUUUUCGGUGUGGGAUGAGCUCGCGGCCUAUCAGCUUGUUGGUGGGGUAAUGGCCUACCAAGGCGUCGACGGGUAGCCGGCCUGAGAGGGUGUACGGCCACAUUGGGACUGAGAUACGGCCCAGACUCCUACGGGAGGCAGCAGGGGGGAAUAUUGCACAAUGGGCGCAAGCCUGAUGCAGCGACGCCGCGGGGGGGAUGACGGCCUUAGGGUUGUAAACUCCUUUCGCUAGGGACGAAGCGUUAUGUGACGGUACCUGGAGAAGAAGCACCGGCUAACUACGUG